This is an RNA transcript of Amphiprion ocellaris (clown anemonefish), 1011 nucleotides long. It is a transcript of the gene named complement C3 alpha chain-like, with no coding region annotated. NCBI's taxonomy places the organism in Eukaryota, Metazoa, Chordata, Actinopteri, Pomacentridae. The record is from RefSeq and is a predicted model, not a curated record. The transcript is spliced from 6 exons.
GCUUCAGGUUUCAGAUCAGAGGUGACCCAGGUGCAAAAGUCAGCCUGGUGGCUGUGGACAACGCUGUGUAUCUUCUCAACAAGGACAGACUCACACAGAGGAAGCCCUGCAGUGUCCAGGCAGUACCAGAAGGAGACGCUCUGCUGAACUGUUGAAGCGUAAAGCUCAGCUGGUUGCCUGCUAAUCUUGAUUUGGAAGUAGAGGCUCGAGGAAAUGGACAAGGAAUACUAGAGUACAGGGAAAGACGACCACGGGUUGUGACCUAUUACAAUCAGCUGCAUGAGGUGGAAGAGAAAAUGCCCUGCAAGCACUUUGAUCUCAACGUCACUUUUGAAGGAUCCAGCGCAGGGCUCUAGGACCCGGAGACGUCAGGAUGGUGGUUCUUGAUAUCAGUCUACCAACUGGAUUCACCCCAGAAAACUCUGACCUGGAGAUGGUAAUCACCUUCUAGUGCUAGUGCAGAAAAAUCUGAAAGCUUGUGUCAAUGGUGUAUUUAAGUGUCUUUAAAAUGAAUGUAGUAUUUUAAAUAAAAGUUUGUAAAAAGUUUACUACAUCAUGAUAAUGACCUUCUAGUGGAUGAGACAUGAAUGAUCGCAUGUUUAGGGCGGCGGCGUUGCUAACUAGCUAACAGCUGACUCUGUUUAUGUGUGUGUCCAGCUGUCCAAUUCAGUGCAUCGUUACAUCAGUAACUUCCAGAUUGUAGACAACCUGAGUGACAGAGGCUCCCUGAUCAUUCACCUGUUCAAAUGUCCCUGAUCCCAGAGCUGGAUGCUUCAGAUCUGUGGUGGUUCUCCCACCAACUGGCCUAAUCUCCAUCUGUGGGAUGCUGCUGCUGCUGACCUUCCUCCAGCCCACUGCUUCCAGCUGCCCAUUUCCAUCAAUCUACUCUGCAUCACCCUCACUAUACUUGAUUUGCUCGUCUACAUAUUUUUGAAUUUACCACCAGCUAUAUAUGUAGUAUAUUUAAUGCCAGAGCCAUACACCGUAGCAGUAAACUAUAAUCAGUUUCCA